UAGAUAUUUUUCUGCCUCAUUUACUAAAAUAAAUAAAAUAGUUAAAUAGUUAUUCGGGUUUUUCCAAUCAAGAUGCUGCUUCUUACGUAUCCUUUCUUUUUAUUUUCUUUUCUCUAAUAUCUUUUGGAGGACUGUGAUAUGAAAGAAAGAUCAUCGGACUACAAGGUAUGUGGCACGCGCCAUCCUCUAGCCAGAUGUGACACUUUCUCAUGCCACUGCUCUCCUAGGUCAUGCAGGUAUGCCUCUCACUCACUCCAACCAAACCUCGCCCUCCUGGCCUGCAGAGGUACAUCUCCUUGAGACCUCCUCAGACCACCUUGGCCCACCUUGACUUUCUCAGAUUCUAAGUGGCUCAGUGAAAUUAAGGAGAAGAUGGAUUUAUUUAAAAAUAGAGUUAAGAGGAGAUGAUAACAAGAGAAGAAAUGAAAAGGAAGCUGGCAGAACCAAGAAAAGAUGUUAAGGAGAAAAAUAAAACCAUUGCGCAACUGAAGACCGCAUUUCUGGAGGCUAGAAGUCCAAAUUCAACUUUAUUGGGCUGAAAUCAAAGAGUCAGGAGGAUACCUGUGAUGGCAUUUAGGCCCACCUGGGUGAGCCAGGACACUCUCUCCAUCUCAAGAUCCUUACUUGAAUCACAUCUGCAAAGCCCUCUUUCUGCCAGGCAAGAAGCAGGAUUGCAGGCCACCUUUUGCAGGCCCAGCCCAGGUUUGGAACAAGGCUUCCUCUGCAAAAGCUGGAUGCUGUGAGCUCUGUCAGCUGCAAUGCUCUACCCCACACCUGCCUGGGUUUCCGGAGUGCAUACUCUAUUUGGGAGCAAUGCCUGCCUUGAACUCCAACAGUAUUUUGUCAGCAUCUUUCCCCAAAGACUAAACUCUACAGCCUAUAUCAAGUAUCAGCCACUGGAGAAAGCCGAGAAAUGGAGAAAUUGAGAAACUUGGCAACACAUCCAGUAAAGAGCUGAAGCUUUUAUAACAGCACAAUACAGGAACAAAAAGGAUAGCUUUGGGGAAUGCCAGCCUUUCCAAGGUAAGUUAUCAAAUGUCAGUGUGAACAAUCAUCAACACUGGAAAAAGAAAUUGUUUAAUUCUCAUAAGCUAACAAAAUGAAUAUGACAUACCAUUUCCCAUGCUACCUAGGUGAAGCAUGCAAGUUGAAUAGUCAUAGCAAUGCUAGUA
Molecule: long non-coding RNA, 1172 nt
Filed under: Homo sapiens (human)
Lineage: Eukaryota; Metazoa; Chordata; Mammalia; Primates; Hominidae
Description: HSALNT0348619
Source: RNAcentral